UCGGGAUACACUGUUUCAGUCUCAAUGACUCAAUAUUUGGGACAAAAAACAAACAAACAAAUGUAAUGCAAAAUAAGGCUGAGUAUGUACAAUGAAACUCGCAAGGUCAAUGAUCACAAGUCAGUCAUAAUGUGGCUAAUAGGCUAGUUUAUCUAUUUAUGUAGCCAUUUCUUUACCAAGCUAAAAACACAGAGCCUAACGAUAGCAAGCUAGCUGCUGGGAGGAUGUUAAGUCAUUGGACAAGUGGCAGAAGAGUAUGCUGUUGAAGGUCUGGCGCACCUGACGUUAAACAACCAAGGUAACGCUUUUCUGCUCUCCCUUCUGCUUGGAUUUUCAAAAAAGUGUCUACA
RNAcentral lists this long non-coding RNA (350 nucleotides) under Oncorhynchus kisutch (coho salmon). RNAcentral's name for it is "lncRNA (ENSOKIG00005011103.1)". Lineage: Eukaryota; Metazoa; Chordata; Actinopteri; Salmoniformes; Salmonidae. The record is from RNAcentral.